AUUGAACGCUGGCGGCAGGCCUAACACAUGCAAGUCGAGCGGAUGACGGGAGCUUGCUCCUUGAUUCAGCGGCGGACGGGUGAGUAAUGCCUAGGAAUCUGCCUGGUAGUGGGGGACAACGUUUCGAAAGGAACGCUAAUACCGCAUACGUCCUACGGGAGAAAGCAGGGGACCUUCGGGCCUUGCGCUAUCAGAUGAGCCUAGGUCGGAUUAGCUAGUUGGUGGGGUAAUGGCUCACCAAGGCGACGAUCCGUAACUGGUCUGAGAGGAUGAUCAGUCACACUGGAACUGAGACACGGUCCAGACUCCUACGGGAGGCAGCAGUGGGGAAUAUUGGACAAUGGGCGAAAGCCUGAUCCAGCCAUGCCGCGUGUGUGAAGAAGGUCUUCGGAUUGUAAAGCACUUUAAGUUGGGAGGAAGGGCAGUAAGCUAAUACCUUGCUGUUUUGACGUUACCGACAGAAUAAGCACCGGCUAACUCUGUGCCAGCAGCCGCGGUAAUACAGAGGGUGCAAGCGUUAAUCGGAAUUACUGGGCGUAAAGCGCGCGUAGGUGGUUUGUUAAGUUGGAUGUGAAAGCCCCGGGCUCAACCUGGGAACUGCAUCCAAAACUGGCAAGCUAGAGUACGGUAGAGGGUGGGUGGAAUUUCCUGUGUAGCGGUGAAAUGCGUAGACAUAGGAAGGAACACCAGUGGCGAAGGCGACCACCUGGACUGAUACUGACACUGAGGUGCGAAAGCGUGGGGAGCAAA
RNAcentral lists this ribosomal RNA (750 nucleotides) under uncultured bacterium. RNAcentral's name for it is "bacterial SSU rRNA". It matches the Rfam family "Bacterial small subunit ribosomal RNA", at positions 28 to 772 of the family's 1533-position model. The record is from RNAcentral.